RNAcentral lists this transfer RNA (71 nucleotides) under Loxodonta africana (African savanna elephant). It matches the Rfam family "tRNA". From Rfam's summary of the family: Transfer RNA (tRNA) molecules are approximately 80 nucleotides in length. The record is from Rfam by way of RNAcentral. Lineage: Eukaryota; Metazoa; Chordata; Mammalia; Proboscidea; Elephantidae.
CCGUUGGUAGUUCAGUGGUAAAAUCUUUGUCUUCCAUGCUGGAGACCUGGGUUCGAUUCCUGGCCAGUGGA